Lacerta agilis (Sand lizard) is the source of this 420-nucleotide long non-coding RNA. RefSeq lists it as uncharacterized. NCBI's taxonomy places the organism in Eukaryota, Metazoa, Chordata, Lepidosauria, Squamata, Lacertidae. The record is from RefSeq and is a predicted model, not a curated record. The transcript has 3 exons.
UCGGGAGCCAAAAAUGUUCAACUCGCAAGACUUUCAGGAUCCAAGGAAUAAAACUAGGGUACUCAGAACUUCAAAACCGGGACAAGAAGAAUUUUAGAACCAUCUAUGAGAGCCAGUGUCUGUAUCUGGAUGGAGAGGUGUACUCAAAACUUCUGCAAAUGCAUGACCCCUCAGGCUUUGACACCUCAAGACACUAUAAGAAGUCCAUAACACAGCAAUCAAUUUCCCUUUUAACAAAGGUAUCAAGAUCAAUAUCCAUUACUUGAUGCUUCAGCUGUAGUUGCAGUCUCUCCCAACAGUGCCCUCAUAGUUCCCAAAAACACUUAUCACUGUCCUCAAUCUAUUGGCAUAUUUUUAAUUUGAUACUUUUGAUAUUUUACAAGCCAGUGCAAUUACAAUAUCAGAUAGCCUUUGCCCAUA